UAAAUCUGGGCCACAGUUUUAGCAGCAGUUUGUGAUAAGUGGUAAUUCUGAAGAGGCUACACAGUAUGACAGGAAUCCUAAGAAGGCAACAUGAAGUGACUAGAAGUUCCAGGGCCCCAGAUCCUUAUCUACCAUGUACUAUUUACAAUACUGGAAUCUUCCAUUGUGGCCAAAGGACAUUUGGGUCCCCUCCAAGGCCAAGAAAUAAAUGAGCAGCAAUGGGACUUUGAAGCAAUGUUAUCCUAAGCAGCCUAGUGUUGUUAGAAAAUGGCAUUAAAUGCUCCUUUUGACCAAGUCAAUUCACAUGAUCUAUGUUAAUAAAAAACCU
This is a long non-coding RNA of Hyla sarda, 328 nucleotides long. RefSeq lists it as uncharacterized. Lineage: Eukaryota; Metazoa; Chordata; Amphibia; Anura; Hylidae. The record is from RefSeq and is a predicted model, not a curated record. The transcript has 4 exons.